RNAcentral lists this ribosomal RNA (265 nucleotides) under uncultured bacterium. Its description in RNAcentral is "partial 16S ribosomal RNA". It matches the Rfam family "Bacterial small subunit ribosomal RNA", at positions 57 to 305 of the family's 1533-position model. The record is from RNAcentral.
GCAAGUCGAGCGAUCGGCCUUCGGUAGCUUGCUAUUGGAGGUACGGAGCGGCGCACGGGUGAGUAACGCGUAGGUAACCUACCCCACGGUACGGGAUAGCCGGUCGAAAGAUCGAUUAAUACCGCAUGUGACGGAGAGGCGGCAUCGUCUUUCCGGGAAAGGCCCUUUCGGGGGUCGCCGAGGGAGGGGCUUGCGUACUAUUAGCUAGUUGGUGAGGUAAUGGCUCACCAAGGCUUUGAUGGUUAGCCGGCUUGAGAGAGUGAAC